GAUUAGUUCAAAACGAACCAAUUACCUUGCCACACUUAUAAGGCUAUUUGCCGAUUGGUUCUAUCUAUUUAUGCCUGAAUUAGAGCAUGCAAACCUACAAUGGUGCGUAUCAGCUCCUACAACAUUAAUCAAUAAGAAAUCAUUGUACGGCAUUAGAUACUUGCACAUUACAGAGGCACCAUGUUCAGAACCCGCAAAAAAUGAUUAGCAUGCACCAGUUUUCGGUUUUCCAUUUAGCUUAUACUUGAUUGAUAAGAUCCUGAUCCUAUAACUAAUGCAAAUCGCAUAUAAUAGGAAGAUUGAAAGCCAAUGAAUGCAAUUUCAACCAACCCCACAUCCAGAAAAAAAAAAGGAUGUAACAGCUAACGAGGACGUAGAGUACUUUGGCCUCAAGCACUUCCUAUCUUUUCCAAUAAGGAGACUCAUUUGGAUGGCUGAAUAGAUUGGCAAAUCUUUCGAGUAUAUACUGAUAUUUCAGAGUUCGGACAGUUUCGAAGCCUCAUUAAAUCUGUGAAUAUAUAUGGUAGACUACCUAUUCCAAAUCAGCUGCCCCGAAGUAACAGGAUUAAAACCGGUGUAUAUCUGCAACUGAUAGCUUCCUUGCUUAGUUGCAUGUGCCCUGAGGUGCUCAGACCUGGUAAAUAUGGAAGUGUGGAAGAUCAGCAUAUGAGCGCCUCAAGUACUCCUAGGUAACCAGCACUAAACUCGGUACCAAGUUACUGGAUCAAUGAUGCAAUGCACAUACAAUGAAUUUAUGGACAACACCUGCAUUUGAUCAAUGAUGUCGCCAACCAUGAAAUGAAAAGACACUGGCUCGCUCCCUCCCUGCAUGCCCAAUGCAGUGCUAAUUAUGAAAUGAAGAACAAUGGCUCCCCGCGCGCCCAAAUCAUCACCAGUGGACGAAAUCAGCACCACGCAAUCUCACCCCUGAUUCGGCCACGUCGCCUCCUUUUGAUCACCGUCGGAUUUUGAUCGGAUGUUAAAAAACGGGCACCGCAUCUGACGUCUCCAGAGAGUUCUCGAGCCUCCCCGUUCCCGCGCUGCCUGCCUCCAUCUCCUCCGGUGCUCCGUCAUCCCCGCCGCCCGUAAGUCGCUGCGUCGUCCUCCACCUCCCGUAGCACCAACUGGUCUCCGCCCUCAGCAAGCCUCGCCACCCGCACCUUACUCCUGCCAUGCCACCCACACGGCCGCACCUCCCUCAACCGUCCUCCCUUGGCGCCCCGCGCGAACGGCUCGUGUGCCAGGGCCGAGUACAUGGAGGAUCGAGCAACUCCUGGGGGCAGCUCCCAAGUCGACAAAGUAGCUGGUUGAGAAAAUGUCAAGCUCCAGAGGCCAGAGCCGGGCAGCAGCUGGAACAAGAUGGCGACGAUCCAACCACGGAACGCGUGGGGGAGCAGGAGUGGAUGAUAGGCGCGCAGGCACCACUUCCACGCCUACCCAGAUCUCCUGUUCCGACCGUCCGCCUAGAUUUUGCAAUGUUGAGGUUCCGUCCAUCUCCUGCAGAAGGCGCCGCCGCCCAGAUGUCUGACGAUGCUUCUGCAGAUGCUGUCGUAUACGAUGGCAGGUGCCGUCGGGAUCGGACGCGCAGGCGCUGGUGCUGAAGCUCAUUAGCUCAAACACGAUUAUUACCGGUGAUGCAACCCGUACAGGUUUCAGAAACAGUCUGCAUGAGCUCAGAGCCUACCAAGCAAAUCCUGUACAACAAUUGAGGAGGCCUUCCUACUGAUGAACAUGGCUUUUUAUUUGUUCAGCAGGUUCAUGCUAUACAGGUAUGCACUGAUCAUUUCAUUGCAUUUGUUCAGAAGGAGAACUACGACACACACAAAAAAGAGAGAUUGGCCCAAUAUUUAAGUACAUGACUCUGCCCAAACCUAUAUGAAUUAAUAAAUUGUAAUAUUGGAAUGCGCUCUCCUUGCACUCACUAAACGUUAGGCUAAAAAUAUAGAAAGGAAGCAUAUGUAUCUGAGUAUAUUUUUCCUCAUGCAAAGACUGGAAUUUAACAUCUACUGUUAAAUUGAAAUCUUUGUGUUCACCAAUUAGCGGACCAAAUUGGCACUUUUAGCUAUUUUUUUUCUCAUCCUCCUUGCUGUGAUUGGAAUUGAAAAGCAAAGCACCACUUGCUUGACAGAUAAUAGAUUAUACUCAUAAACCAAUCAUUACAAAUACUUCGAUUAUAUGCACUGUUAUUGACACAAUUGUUUCAGCAAUAGAAACAGCUAUACCAACCUAAAUUGAUUUCUAAAGCUAACAAGGAGUUUCAGAAGCAUGAGGGCAUGGAUCUGCAACAACCAAUCCAUGUAGGUGACGACCAACUCCUCUGCGGACAACAACUAUGAGCUGCCUAAUGGACAGCUGAUCACCAUCGGGGCAGAGAGAUUCAGAUACACUGAGAUUCUCUUCCAGUCUUAUUUCAUCGGUAUGUAAUCACCUCGAAUCCAUGAGACCACCUACAACUCUAUCAUGAUGCUUAUGACAGAAGGAUCCCCAUGGGUGAGUAUGGUGAAUCAGGCCUAGCGAUUUUUCACCGAAACUAUCGUCAGCAUCGGACAGGUAGGAGAAGAAGAGAGAAGCUAACUAGCUAUGCACAAGAGCCUCUCUCUACAAUCAGUCAAUCAUGCAGGUAAUUUUCAACAGGAUGCUUGUUCUUGAAAAGAGAUGAUAGAUGACAAAGUGCUACGAACUGGACUUCAGAAAGAACUCAUAGGAUGGACCAGGUGCACACAUCAGUAACUAACUUCCAUGAUGUAUCAGAAGAUUCGAAGAACUACAAGCUGGCUAACUGGAUCAAGGAGAUGUGCAUCUCUGGCUGGCCCCCUCCAUGGAUGGCACGGCAAAGCCGAAAUGCUAGCAUCCGAGCGUCGGACGCGCUGCUCCGGUGGACCCACAAGGACCGCCGCCCGUCUCCUCCUUUUCUCUCCGGGACUUCGCUGUCUUCACCGCACGAGACAUUUCCUCUCUGCUAGCCGGCUCUCUCUCUCUCUCGGAAAAAAUCCCCUCGAUUCUCCAUUAUCAAAGCUCAUGCAACUCCAAAUCCCAGAUCUGAGCUGCUCGCAUCCUCAUCGUUUGGCCGCGACGCGCCGUAGGAACUCACUCAUGGCAGUUUGGGCAACGGAGGAGAAGAAGUUGGGGGAAGGAGGGUGGGGGAAGGGCUGCUGCCAGUGAUGGACUCCUCUGCGUCGGAGGAGGCAGGCGCAACAGGGUCGCUCGCGUGGCUCCGAGCCUCCGAUGGUUGAUUUCAUCGUCGCUGCUUCCAAUUCAGGAUAGGGAGGCGAGGAUGGCUGUAGACAUCGCCGCCCAAGGUAGGUCGAUGCAGAGCUGCGAGCCACGGCGGCCAAAAUCAGGCUACGAGAUCUUCCCCAUUCUCUCUUUGUCGCUCUCUCGCUCUUUUUGUUCAUUUCUUGUGAUGUUGCGGCGGGUGAUUUCUCAUGUCGCAGUACUUGAUUUUUGAUGCUACGUGAUGGUUUUGGGGCAAAUGUUGGAACCUGCACUGGGUGGAUUUGGUAUGCGGCUAUGCGCAUAUGUGAAUUUGAGAUGUUGCAAAAGGCUAUUUGGGAUGUUGUAAAAGAUUAUUUAUGUUGUUGCAACGGGUGAUUUGGUCAGGAUUAUUCUUAUUCUAUGUCAGGAUUAUUCUUAUUCAAUGUUGCAAUUUGUGAA
This is a long non-coding RNA of Setaria italica (foxtail millet), 3654 nucleotides long. RefSeq lists it as uncharacterized. Lineage: Eukaryota; Viridiplantae; Streptophyta; Magnoliopsida; Poales; Poaceae. The transcript has 4 exons. The record is from RefSeq and is a predicted model, not a curated record.